CAAUUUCUCUUCUUCAAACUAGGGUUGUUCUUCUUCAACAGUACAGUUACUUUCAACAUGUAUGUCCCGGACAUCUGAUUUUCAUUCUUCUUCUUUUUCUUUUUCUUUCUAAACGUCCAAAAAGCAGCGAAAUGUUGGCGAAUUUUUUUCAGAAAAAUUCUGCCUAGUUUUUCCAGUUUCUGCCCUAAAUUUCUGCCCAAUUAUUAUAUCUUUUAUUCUUAGUUCUUAUAGAAGAAGAGAAUGCUCAUUUUGUAGAAAAAUAGGAUGCUCAUUUUGUGCUUUAAUUGAUGCUACUCUUUAGUUUUUUAGUUGAAGUAUUGAACAUUUGCUUACAAAUAAUAUGUGUUGUAUAUGUAGUAUUUAUUUUAUUUUUUUUAAUUCCGCUUCAUUUAAAAAAAGCGAGAGCUUCGCUUCUCGCUUCUUACUUUUCGUGAAAUGAGGGUUGUCACAUUUCCUCGCUUCACGCUCUUCACAACACUAGUUCCUACUCUUCCUCCCAGAAUAUUCACCAAGCUAUGUAUCUCCAUUACUUCAUUAACUGGAUAGAUGAAGCUCUUAUUCCAGUUAAUGUGUAAUCCAGAAAUAGCCUAAAAAAUGAAUAAUCACCCUCAAACGAAGCACCUGGUCUCGAUCAGCAUGACGAAACACCAAAGUAUCAUCCGGAUAUUGCAGAUGGGUAACUUCUAGUGACACUGGAUCUCUUGAAUUCACCCUGAAACCCCUGAUCCUUGUUGGCUUUGGCAGAUUUAAACCGGCGAUUUAAACCUUCCAUUGGCAGAAUAAAUAGAAAGGGGGAUACAAGGUCCCCCUACCUCAGACCUCUCUGUGAAGAGGAAAAAUCAGCUGGUAGACUACCUAGUAUCUUUUGCCUCUGCUAGAAUAUGAACAUAAGACCUCAUGGUCCUCCUUCCACUUCACUGACCACUAGACCACAUGCAUGGAUAAAAGUUUAAUUGUGUGAAUGCAUACUCCCCUUCCCAGACCCCACGUGUAGGAUUACACUGGCAAUCCCACACUAUCCCACACUGGGCUUCUUGUUGUUGUUGUGUGCAUGCAUACUUAUGUACACAUUUAUAUACUACUACAUAUUUUUGAACUAGAGCUGUGCAGCUAAAAUUGGUAAAAUUUGCUGUGUGCUAUAUUUGCAGAGAUAAUAGAUUUUUGUGAGUUUUUAUCACCUACACCUGAGGAGCAAGCAUCCCGUAAUGCAGCCAUAGAAUGUGUUUUUGAUGUUAUCAGAUAUAUCUGGCCCAACUGCAAGGUCUGUUGUCACGAUGCCUGUUCUCCUCCCAUCAGUGUAUAGCACAUUAUAUCUGUGAUAUACAGAAGCAGAUUGAUUUACUCUGUUGAAGUUCGUUGUUUUAAUUUAUCAUUCUUAUCCCUUUUUCCAGCCAGAAGUCUUUGGUUCAUUCAAGACAGGGUUAUAUCUUCCCACUAGUGAUGUUGAUGUAAGCUUACUCUGCUUAUUUUUCAAGUAAAUUUGAGAUUUCCUUUCUCGGUGAAAAGAUAUUUUUCCUUAAAAUUUCUCACUGAAGUGCUGCUACUUCUGCCUGAAGUUGAGUUAAUAGAAUCCAAACUUUAACAACAAUAACAGUACCCCUUCAAUAUCUUUUUAUCCUCCCAAACAAAAGUUACAACAACAACAACUACCCCUCAAUGCUGUACUGGUUGGGUUCCAAAUCCUCCACAUGACAUGCAACAAAAUGCAUCAUGCUAACCUGGGCAUCCUGUACUUGACCACUUAUUCUGUGAUGUGAAACCUGUAAAGGCUGUUGUACCCAAUUAAGGAGCAUCUGCUUUUAAAUGGGAAACAUAAUUAGUUGCUUAUUGAAAAAAUAGUUCUGGAGCGUGAUACUGCUCUGUGGUGGUUACCGUUGUUAUGAAUGAAUCUUUCCAUUCACAGUCAUUAGACAUAUAUGACUUGUUGGCUGAUUGUGGUGUGGAAACAAUAACGAUCGAAGUUAAAAUUAACGCUUUGAGCUACUUUUUGAUAUACAGCUGGUGAUUUUAGGGUCAGAUAUUAGAAGUCCUCAACUUGGGUUACAGGCUCUUUCCAGGGCUCUCUCACAAAAAGGAGUCGCAAAGAAGAUACAGGUUCAUGACAUGACCCUGUGAUCUCUCAAUGAGGAACAUUUUCUUUCAUUUCCCCCCUCCCCAAACCUUGUGAUAGGUUUCUGCGAAGAGAACUUACAAUCUGGAUUUUUCAUGUGCUGUUCCAAAUUAGGUGAUAUCAAAGGCUCGUGUGCCAAUAAUCAAAUUUGUGGAGAAGAAAAGUGGCAUUUCAUUUGAUAUAAGGUUUGAUUUUGUACAACUUUUAUGGGAUUCUGACAUACUAUUGUAAGUUUGUAGAAGAUAGUUCAUAUUUUUUAUUUUUAUUUGUGUUGUCUUUAUCCUGAAAUGUAGCUAAAUAAAACCAUGUUUUGAAUUGGCGAGAACUUCUUCCUUUUAGUCUCUUGCUGCAAAUUAUCUUGCCCCUACUUGGUGGUCAUUUGGAUAGUGUGGACCCAGGGGAGCUUGAUUUGUGCUUUUCGGCUUUUCCAUUCAUGAUUUCAGUUUAUUAUCUAAUGGAAAUAAUUCCACAGAUUUUAUCAUGUAAUUUAUUUUUGUGUUUUGGGAUGAUCCUUUAUCUUGUGUUCCUCUUUUGUUUGAGUUUCUUGCUUGGUGCAUGUGAUUGUCGAUUAGUUCAUAUUAGUUUAGACUUUGUUAUCUUAAUGAGCUAACAAAAUGAAAUGGAGAGUUGACCAAUCUCUCCCCUUCUGUGCUUCUUGAAAGUUAGAGAAAAACCUAUGACAACCCACUCCUCAUCCUAGGUAACUGGAAAUCGCUCUGGGACAUACCUCAUUAUUUUUAGCUGUUUCCUCUAAAGACCGGCCAGGCGUUUACUAUGCAAACAAGACUACCGACCUAUUGAACUCAUUUGACUAAUUCUGAUAUUGAGGCGGCCCAUCUUCCAAACCCUACAAUAUGACCGUCGCCUAGGUGUUAGGAAUUUGUAUAUUGGCAGUUUUGGCACAAAUUUUAGAGCCGGUUAGAUGGUGGUGGGAGAUGUUGUGCACUUUUUUUUUAUCAAUAAUAAUAAUAAUAGCAAAAGCAAAUAUUUUUGUAAAUAUUUCAAUUGACGAAAUGGAUGAGAAAGCAAGCUGCAACUUCAUCUUAGUACCCAUUUUCCUUACUAAUUGUUGGGAACUUCCAUAAUAUUUAAGAUUUGGCUACUUAUAGAUUGGUGAAGAGAAAUUGUAAACAUGCAUAAUGCACACUCUUCAUAGAAUUAGAGACAAUUGGGCAAUGUCAACAUCAGUUAGAAUUCACCAUUCAAUAUUAAGAGAAAUGGUAUUAUAAAUACCUAGCCAAGUGCGUUGAUUCACCACACAAAAUUUCUACCUUUGCAAUUAUUGAGUCAAAUGGUGUACUUGGUAACCGUGAUAGUGAUAUUUAGUUUCAUUUUCCCGCAACAAGUCAUUUCUCAGACCAAUUACGAUCUUAUGCAAGUGGUAUUCCAGUGGUCACUGACAUGUCAGAUGCCAGAAAUGACUGCAGAAGUUCUGUUAAUAAGUUAAAGUUCAUCGUGCACGGCCUAAAGAGCAAAGGUACUUAGAAUGGGGAGAUUCGUAGCAAAAAUUAUAGAGCAAAAGUGGGAAACCUGGGGGCGUUGAGAAGAAAAUGCAAGUUAGGAGGAUAGAGAAAGAGCGGAAGGUGGAAGACCAAGUAGUACUGCUUGAGAUGUGACAGUGUGAAUAAGAUCAAAAAAAUAAACAGUGUUGCUGCUCCUAUUCUUGGCUCUAGUGGGGCCUUCCCAAAUUUAAGGCAAACCCUAGCACACUAUAUGUACUCUUUUGUUAAAGCCAGGAACCUAACCAGAAAAUCAAAAUUCCUUAACCCUUAAUACCAAACAUGACUGAAAGCACAAGUUAAAGAAAGAAAGAAAGAAAGAACCAAACAGAUGAAAACUUUGGUCAGUCGAUUUACUUGGUAUUAACUGAAUAAUGCACACCUCUGGGAGAGUAUAUAUUUUGAUGAAGAAGUGGGUGGUUUUGGGAAGAAAUGGAGGCUAAAUUUCUGUCGCAGUUGCUCGUUCCA
This 4077-nucleotide long non-coding RNA is filed under the name Nicotiana benthamiana. RNAcentral's name for it is "long non-coding RNA (NBEN_LNC022644)". Lineage: Eukaryota; Viridiplantae; Streptophyta; Magnoliopsida; Solanales; Solanaceae. The record is from RNAcentral.